AUAUUUGUCAGGCUUGUGAUUCUCCUUCCAUGGCAUAGAAAAUAGUAUCAAUCGGUAACUGGAUCUCCAUGCGUCUGAGUCGGAUAAAGAAACAGAGUAUAUGAUCGGACACUUUUCCGGCGCCGGCAAUCUUUCGCCGGUUUUUCAGGUUUCCGGUGAUGGUUUUUGAAUAAAAUUGUUCUUUUUAUUCAAACCCCUAAAUUGAUUAACCCUUCGAAUUAAAUCUUGUUGAUUUUUUGUGACUCAGCUUUUUGAAACCCUAGUAAGCUGCUACAGUUUAAAUCCCAAAAUUUGAACCCUAAAUUGCUGUAACUAAUAGACCAUUAAGAGCAUGUUGCUAAGUCUGUUCUUAAUUGAUUGGACUAAUUUUUUUCUUUAAGUAAAACUAAAUUUGCUGAUAAAUUUUUCCUUCAAAAUUUAGUUUUUUUCUGUGUGCUGUUGAGUUUAACAAGCAUUUCUGAUUUUAAUAAUAAAGUAAAUAACUGUGAGCUGUGAGAAGCAUUUAACUAGGGCUUCUUUAGUGUUCACUUUUAAUUAGUUUUUACUUCUUUUAUGCUAUAGCUUACUGGUGAUUUCUUCAGUCUUGUAAUGAUUAGUUUCAUUCAUUUCCCAAAGUUUUGAACUUUUUAUUUUCAAUUCCAUUAUGAUUCCAAAGGAUUAUCAAGUUAUGUUGCAGGAAAGUGAAAGGUUAUUAAAGUUUCAUGAUAGGAUUUCGUAGUUGUUGAUUACUUUUCAUAUUUGCUGAAAUCGGCUUGUUUAAUUAGCUGUUAUACCUGUUAUGGUGCAGAGUGUAGCGUCCUGUUGGGGAGAAGUAUUGUGUGAUUCUACCAGUUUAUUUCUUGUCAAUACAUUAAGGCGAUAGUGGGCUCUCAUGUCUCAGAAAUAGUAAAAGCUAUAUUGACGUGCCUUUUCUUAUUAGAUAUAUGUUGAAGUAUGGAUACUCUUAUGUAUAAGUAGAUAUUUAGAAUGGAAUAAAACUUAUCCUACUAUAGAAUCUUACUAUGAAAAUAAGAUGUGUAGAUGGAAAUGAGCGACAGAAGUAUGAUUGCAUCUACGUAUGCAUCAAUUGCAUACCAGAAUUGCUAUGAUAUUGCCUCACUAGAUCUGAUUACUAAUAAUCUGAUGCAUUUAUUACCAAGUGAAAACACUUCAUCAUAUCACACUUUCUGGUUGGUUAUAAAUGGUGAAAGAUUCAUAUCCUAACACAUGUGUUUAGUUUUUUUCAGAUCGAUCAAUCUCGUUCCUUUUUCUUUCUUAGAAGAUGCUAGAAAUGGUGGUCCGUCUCAUCAAAUGAUAAUCAUUCAUGUUAUAUGUAAGGAGAAUCACAAACCUGACAAAUAUGUGUGACUAUCUCUAAAAGAAAGAAUACAGUAUUUCCUGGUGUUUAGAUAAAUUUUUGUCAUUUCAUUUACAAAAGAAUGCCCUGUAUGUGAAAAAAAUGUCAUAUCGCUUUCUUGAAAAAGACACAUUUGUCAGGCUUGUGAUUUUCCUCUAAUGGCAUGGAAAAUAUUAUCAACUGGUGAGUGGACCUCCAUUCAUCUGAGUUGGAAAACGGAACGGGUCAUUGAUCGGGUACUUCUCCGGCGCUGGAGCUGGAGCACUUUCACCGAUUUUCAAGAUUUCAGUGAUGUUUUUGAGUCGGUGAAAUUGUUUUUUUCCUUAGAACCCUAGAUUGAUUAACCCUUUGAGUGAUUCUUAUCCUGUUCCAUGAAUUAUUUCUUGUUUUUUUGUGUGGAUGUGUGCAGAUUUUGGAACCUUAUUAACUGCUUCAAUUUAAUUACCAAAUCUUGAAUCCAAAUUUGCUUUUAGAAGAAGCUAGGAAGAUUUUGAUAAUGUAAUUUCUGGAAAUUGUUCUUUUAUUGACUGUUAUGAUGUAUGUAUCUAUAAAUUCGAACUCUAGAAGAUUAAGUUAGCUUACUAGUGCAUCCACGAAACCGUAGAUGAAACUAAUUUGAAUUAUUUUACCGAUUACGAUUAGUAAGCUCUAUUGCAGGAAAAGGAUAUGUUUCUAAAACCCGACGAUAGGAUUGCUUGGUAAAUGAUUUCAUACUCAUCUUUGAUAAAAUCGUCUUGUUACUGACCUGCUAUUUUUGAGCUUCUGCUUCUUAACAUUUUUAUGUCAGUAUUAUCGUAUUCUGUUUUUUGUUACUUGGCAGACUUUGGGUUUCCUUCAACACUUCCACAUACGGAUGGCUCAUUUGAAGGAGUUUCUUCUGAAACAAGAGCCCGUCCAAAUGUAAAACCUGUCUGGAUACGUCCUGCUAUUCUAGAUUCAUAAAUGUUUGAGGAGAAGCAGCCACUUUGGAAUUAUCUUUGGUAUAUCUAAGGAAUAGAUUGCAUGCUGAUGAUAUAUCUGAAGUCUGAACAAAGUGGAGAAUGGAGACUCGUAAUCUUGAAGUGUUAUCAGGUUUUGGUGCACAAGGCAAUUCCACCUUUAUUGCUAAAGCUAUUGGCUGAAGCUUUUCAGACCACUUUGAGGGAUUGCCGCCGCCUCCUAAGCCUAGUAUAUUUCAUGUCUUCGGCUUAUCAUUUCCCCCAGGUAUCCUUCUGUUUUUUGUAGUUUUAUGAACGUGUUAUCGAAACGAAUUGGCAGGAUAUCGAAAACCUGUGAGGGUAAAGUCAAGCUAAUAUAUAGGGAUUGUGGCCAAGUGGAGAUGUGGUGGUUUGGAUAGUUUGUAGUUUGCUUUCAUAUUAGGUCAGCAAAUUGUUCAGGUCUCUGAGCUCAAGAGGCGACUAAAAUCGUAUAUUUGAAUCCUUAUUGUCCAUGUCGCUUGAUUUAACCGUCUUACUAUGAUAUUUUGUUCAAGAAUUUGUUGUAAUGCUUAAAUAAUGAAUUGAAUAUUCAGGUAACUAAAAAGAAAAAAUAAUUUGAGCUCUUUUA
Nicotiana tabacum (common tobacco) is the source of this 2881-nucleotide non-coding RNA. The record is from RefSeq and is a predicted model, not a curated record. NCBI's taxonomy places the organism in Eukaryota, Viridiplantae, Streptophyta, Magnoliopsida, Solanales, Solanaceae.